GGGUGGAGCAGCUUGGUAGCUCGUCGGGCUCAUAACCCGAAGGUCGUCGGUUCAAAUCCGGCCCCCGCAACCA
This 73-nucleotide transfer RNA is filed under the name Vibrio vulnificus. RNAcentral's name for it is "tRNA-Met". It matches the Rfam family "tRNA". From Rfam's summary of the family: Transfer RNA (tRNA) molecules are approximately 80 nucleotides in length. Their secondary structure includes four short double-helical elements and three loops (D, anti-codon, and T loops). Further hydrogen bonds mediate the characteristic L-shaped molecular structure. tRNAs have two regions of fundamental functional importance: the anti-codon, which is responsible for specific mRNA codon recognition, and the 3' end, to which the tRNAs corresponding amino acid is attached (by aminoacyl-tRNA synthetases). tRNAs cope with the degeneracy of the genetic code in two manners: having more than one tRNA (with a specific anti-codon) for a particular amino acid; and 'wobble' base-pairing, i.e. permitting non-standard base-pairing at the 3rd anti-codon position. Lineage: Bacteria; Pseudomonadati; Pseudomonadota; Gammaproteobacteria; Vibrionales; Vibrionaceae. The record is from RNAcentral.